RNAcentral lists this ribosomal RNA (164 nucleotides) under Euphorbia neriifolia (Indian spurgetree). Its description in RNAcentral is "5.8S ribosomal RNA". It matches the Rfam family "5.8S ribosomal RNA". From Rfam's summary of the family: 5.8S ribosomal RNA (5.8S rRNA) is a component of the large subunit of the eukaryotic ribosome. The record is from RNAcentral. Lineage: Eukaryota; Viridiplantae; Streptophyta; Magnoliopsida; Malpighiales; Euphorbiaceae.
AAAAUGACUCUCGGCAACGGAUAUCUCGGCUCUCGCAUCGAUGAAGAACGCAGCGAAAUGCGAUACUUGGUGUGAAUUGCAGGAUCCCGCGAACCAUCGAGUCUUUGAACGCAAGUUGCGCCCUAAGCCUUUCGGCCGAGGGCACGUCUGCCUGGGUGUCAUUC